AGAGUUUGAUCCUGGCUCAGGACGAACGCUGGCGGCGUGCCUAACACAUGCAAGUCGAGCGAUGAAGCUUCCUUCGGGAAGUGGAUUAGCGGCGGACGGGUGAGUAACACGUGGGUAACCUGCCUCAAAGAGGGGGAUAGCCUCCCGAAAGGGAGAUUAAUACCGCAUAACAUUAGAAAAUCGCAUGAUUUUCUAAUCAAAGGAGUAAUCCGCUUUGAGAUGGACCCGCGGCGCAUUAGCUAGUUGGUAAGGUAAUGGCUUACCAAGGCGACGAUGCGUAGCCGACCUGAGAGGGUGAUCGGCCACAUUGGAACUGAGACACGGUCCAGACUCCUACGGGAGGCAGCAGUGGGGAAUAUUGCGCAAUGGGGGAAACCCUGACGCAGCAACGCCGCGUGGGUGAUGAAGGUUUUCGGAUUGUAAAGCCCUGUCUUUUGGGACGAUAAUGACGGACCAAAGAGGAGCCACGC
This 470-nucleotide ribosomal RNA is filed under the name uncultured Clostridium sp. RNAcentral's name for it is "bacterial SSU rRNA". It matches the Rfam family "Bacterial small subunit ribosomal RNA", at positions 8 to 496 of the family's 1533-position model. The record is from RNAcentral. Lineage: Bacteria; Bacillati; Bacillota; Clostridia; Eubacteriales; Clostridiaceae.